Non-coding RNA from Cyanistes caeruleus (blue tit), 215 nucleotides. The record is from RefSeq and is a predicted model, not a curated record. Lineage: Eukaryota; Metazoa; Chordata; Aves; Passeriformes; Paridae.
GGGUUAAAUCCCGGGAUUUUGGGGCAGGUGGAGCGGCGCUGUCCCCGCUGCGGGAACGAGGGGAUGAGUUACCACACGCGUCAGAUGCGCUCGGCCGACGAGGGCCAGACGGUGUUCUACAGCUGCCCCCGCUGCGGGUUUCAGGAGAAGGAAGAUUCCUGAAAAAUUCCCGAUUUUUGGGCUCUUUCCGAGGAAUAAAAGCGACCCCCGCUGGA